Molecule: ribosomal RNA, 213 nt
Filed under: Triticum aestivum (bread wheat)
Lineage: Eukaryota; Viridiplantae; Streptophyta; Magnoliopsida; Poales; Poaceae
Description: partial small subunit ribosomal RNA
Source: RNAcentral
AUGACUUCAUCACCGGGGGCGGGGAACAGCUGGACAGUUCGUGAAGUUGGGGCUCUUGUAAAAGCCCAUUCCCCAAGCUUGGUCUUUCUUGCUGAAACGAGACAUACAAGUGCAAAAAUUGAAAGAAUGAAGUGGAAACUAGGUUUGAAAGGAUUCUGUGGGGUGGAUUGCAAGGGCCGAGGGGGAGGACUAGCUUUGUUUUGGGAUGAAUCC